GAGAGAGGAGUCUAGGAUAGACAGUGCAGCAAAAAUACACCAUUAAAUGUACAAUAUGUGACUGAAGGUUGAUCCUCCUUAAAACAAGGUUAAAGAUUUGCUUUACAGUCCAUUAAAUUAAUCAUGUCAACAUAAUAGCAAUAGUCUUAGAAGCAAAAUACUUGGGUUUGUUUGUUUGUUUGUUUGUUUGGCAUUAUUCUUGAAUAUCCAAGGUAAAGCAUUUGACACCAAGAGGCACUCAGUAAACAUUUGUUGGCUGAUUUAAGACCUCUGUCUGUAUAAAAAGUCCAAAUAAUUCAAAUGUCAAAAUAAAGGAUUCGAUUUGAGAAAAUAUAAUAUAAUAUACAUUGGCAGCCAGAAAAAUAAAACAAGUAAAAUAAAAAUAAAAUUCAAAUUAGUAUUACCAAAAAAUAUAAAAUAGAAGUAAGGGAUGAGCACUCAUGAUUUUAUACUAAGAUCUCUGUGUCCAGCUUGUUUGUGUUUUAUUUUUGCAUAUAAUGAUGGCAUAAGACGGUUGGUGUAAUUUUGUUUUGUUUUGUUUCUAAAGUAAAUGUCAGCACUUCUACUCCAAAGAAGAGGUUCUCCCCCUUUAGGCCUCAGUAUUCACAAAUGACGGAUGGAAGGAAGGAAGAGAAGGGAGGUAGAGUCGAAACAGUGAGAGAAAAGGAUAUCCUAUCCCCUAUUUACUUAAAAAGAUAAAUGCUAACUGAACUUUGCUGCCCUCUACCUCUGCACCUCUAUCCUCCAGUGGUACCACUGUUUCCAGUCUAUUCCCUUCCACAUCACUGAUCCUUACUCUGACCUAUACUUUGCUUUCCAUUAUGGGAAGUGAUUGUAUCAUGAGGGUGCAGCCCCAGUGAGUGGGAUUAGUGCCCUUAUAAAAAUAAAAGACUAGGCAUCUCUUCUGUGAAUGUGCUCUUUCUCUCUCAUCUCUUCUCUCUCCCUUCCUCCCUUAUUCCCUUUUCCCUCUCUCCUCCCUGCCAUGUAAGGAUCCAAG
Molecule: long non-coding RNA, 997 nt
Filed under: Marmota monax (woodchuck)
Lineage: Eukaryota; Metazoa; Chordata; Mammalia; Rodentia; Sciuridae
Source: RNAcentral